Molecule: ribosomal RNA, 545 nt
Filed under: Ventrifossa garmani (Sagami grenadier)
Lineage: Eukaryota; Metazoa; Chordata; Actinopteri; Gadiformes; Macrouridae
Description: partial 16S rRNA
Rfam family: Bacterial large subunit ribosomal RNA
Source: RNAcentral
UCUCGCCUGCCCACUGACUAUAUGUUUAAUGGCCGUGGUAUCUUAACCACGCGAAGGUAGCGUAAUCAUUUGUCUUUUAAAUGAAGACCUGUAUGAAUGGCAAAACGAGGGCUUAACUGUCUCCCCCCUCCAGUCAAUGAAAUUGACCUCCCCGUGCAGAGGCGGGGAUUAACCUAUAAGACGAGAAGACCCUGUGGAGCUUUAGACCUAUAUUAAACUUACCUAACAAGUUCGAGUAUGAGCCAGACCCUAGUAAAAAUUAAUGAAGUGUCUUUGGUUGGGGUGACCAUGGGGCAACAUAAAACCCCCACGAAGAUAGGAAAUUACUUCCCAGCACUUAGAGCCACCCCUCCAAGUAACAAAACCUUUGACUUUAAAAAUGAUCCGGCUCAGCCGAAUAACGAACCCAGUUACCCCAGGGAUAACAGCGCAAUCCCCUUCCAGAGCUCCUAUCGACAAGGGGGUUUACGACCUCGAUGUUGGAUCAGGACAUCCUAAUGGUGCAGCCGCUAUUAAGGGUUCGUUUGUUCAACGAUUAAAGUCCU